This 301-nucleotide ribosomal RNA is filed under the name uncultured bacterium. Its description in RNAcentral is "bacterial SSU rRNA". It matches the Rfam family "Bacterial small subunit ribosomal RNA", at positions 29 to 334 of the family's 1533-position model. The record is from RNAcentral.
AUUGACGCUGGCGGCAUGCCUUACACAUGCAAGUCGAACGGCAGCACGGGAGCAAUCCUGGUGGCGAGUGGCGACGGGUGAGUAAUACAUCGGAACGUGCCCGAUCGUGGGGGAUAACUACUCGAAAGAGUAGCUAAUACCGCAUACGAUCUACGGAUGAAAGCGGGGGAUCGCAAGACCUCGCGCGGACGGAGCGGCCGAUGGCAGAUUAGGUAGUUGGUGGGAUAAAGCUUACCAAGCCGACGAUCUGUAGCUGGUCUGAGAGGACGACCAGCCACACUGGGACUGAGACACGGCCCAG